UACGUAGGGUGCAAGCGUUUGUCCGGAAUUAUUGGGCGUAAAGAGCUCGUAGGCGGUUCGUCGCGUCGGCUGUGAAAACCUGAGGCUCAACCUCAGGCCUGCAGUCGAUACGGGCGGACUUGAGUACUGCAGGGGAGACUGGAAUUCCUGGUGUAGCGGUGAAAUGCGCAGAUAUCAGGAGGAACACCGGUGGCGAAGGCGGGGUCUCUGGGCAGUAACUGACGCUGAGGAGCGAAAGCGUGGGGGAGCGAACAGGA
This 257-nucleotide ribosomal RNA is filed under the name uncultured bacterium. RNAcentral describes it as "partial 16S ribosomal RNA". It matches the Rfam family "Bacterial small subunit ribosomal RNA", at positions 524 to 777 of the family's 1533-position model. The record is from RNAcentral.